Molecule: non-coding RNA, 106 nt
Filed under: Alexandrium catenella
Lineage: Eukaryota; Dinophyceae; Gonyaulacales; Pyrocystaceae
Source: RNAcentral
CGACGCUGCCGCGGAACCCCGGCUGGACGAAGCCGGCGCUGCGGGAGGAGCACGAGGAGGUGGCCACCGUGGUGGAGGAGCUCUACAUCGCCGCGAUGCUGCACGC